Molecule: long non-coding RNA, 463 nt
Organism: Sander lucioperca (pikeperch)
Lineage: Eukaryota; Metazoa; Chordata; Actinopteri; Perciformes; Percidae
Exons: 2
Source: RefSeq, a predicted model, not a curated record
AUUAAUUGGCCAAAUGAAUGUGAAGACAGGAUUUGAUUCCCCUUUGGGCCUUGACCUCACUCCAGAGCACUGAACACUGGCCCUCAUACAGUGAUGGAUGCCGUCUGCUGACAAGGUUGUUGCAUUACAUGUUUCUGAAAUGUUUUGCAGUCUUUCUAGACUGGAGGAUUCAGUAAGUAAUGUGCCAUUUGAAGACAACUAAUUAAAUUUCUCAUUUUAUGUCCUCACAUCCACUUUUGCUAUCUAGAAAACAAAUAGAAAAUCUCAAUCCUUAAAAACAUCACUUUAGAACCACUGUUGCAGAAAAUUUGAAAGACAUGCACUUGUUUAAAAAGUGUAACAGCUUUAUUGAGACAGUUGGGGCCCUAAAACUCCGUUUACUACAGUAUGAUUGACCAAGUCCAAAUUAAUUUCACUUUACCCCUGAAAAGACAAAAAAGGUGGGGCUCAGAUUUAAAAAAAA